UGUUUUCAUUGGUGGUGUUAAUGGG
Molecule: non-coding RNA, 25 nt
Filed under: Mus musculus (house mouse)
Lineage: Eukaryota; Metazoa; Chordata; Mammalia; Rodentia; Muridae
Source: RNAcentral